RNAcentral lists this unclassified non-coding RNA (208 nucleotides) under Hevea brasiliensis (rubber tree). Lineage: Eukaryota; Viridiplantae; Streptophyta; Magnoliopsida; Malpighiales; Euphorbiaceae. The record is from RNAcentral.
AAUAAUAAUAAUAAUAUUAAAUUUUAUUUAUUUAAAUUUAAUUUCAUAGAAGAAUGAGUUUCAUAAUCGUAAAAUUAAAUAUUUGUAUCGAGAUUUAUAUUUAAAGUAAUUUUUUUAGUUAUUUAAAUAAAUAAUAGAAAUGCCAAUCAUAAUUAGAAAGGAGAGAGAGAGAAUUGAGUGUGUACCCAUGGUGAGAGCACUAGCAAAG